CUAAGUAUAGGGGCUGUGUUGUGAAUGUAUUAAAUACAGUUGAUCUCAACAUUCUGAGCACUUUCGGUUUGCAGUAACGACCUGAUCUCCAUUGCAGGUAGAAAAAAAAGCAUCAAGUCCUUCAGAGAACCUGUGCUGCAAACUCCUGCCUCUGUUGUGCAAUUUCCGGUAACCAUUGAUGAACCAUCAGACACCUGCUGCAUUGGAAUGCAAUGUCAGCCGAUAUGUGGACCAACUCCAGUUGCCAUCAGUUGUCCGCAGCCAGUGAUUAAACCUAUCUGUUGUCCGCAGCCAGAGAUGGAUCCUAACUGUUGUCUGCAGCCAGAGAUGGAUCCUAACUCCCCACCAGGCACCAGAUGGUUUGUCCCAUCAAGAUGGAGCCCUAAACAGAAGGCAAAACAGUGCCACAAGGAAGUGCUAAGCCCCUUCUCUGUCUUCCAGGUUGUCUGCAGCCAGAGAUGGAUCCUAACUGUUGUCUGCAGCCAGAGAUGGAUCCUAACUGUUGUCUGCAGCCAGAGAUGGAUCCUAACUGCUGUCUGCAGCCAGAGAUGGAUCCUAACUGUUGUCCGCAGCCAGAGAUGGAUCCUAACUUAAUCUUGCAGAAAACUACAACAGAACCUGGGCCACCUGUAAUAGUGAGACAAGACACAGGUUGCACAGAUGGAAGACUUCCCAAAAAAAAAGCAGAUUCCAAAGCCCAGAUGAUAAAACACGGAAGGGCAGUCUUCCCGCAAGGAUGCAGGGAGACAUCGAAGAAGAAAACGGUGUUAGGUACCAAUGAGCCCUUUACAACGCUGCACAAAAAAGAGAUAAUAGGAAGAAUCAAGAGCACCCAUGCGGGGAUUGGGAACAGAGGACGGCUGAAGGGCGAGGCCAGGACUCCAAAGUUGAGCGACUCCCACCACAGGAACAGAUCUCGACUGCUCGAGUGCAACGAAGCCCAUGAAAGAAGGUGCGUGGGUGGCGUUCUAAAGAGACGCGAGGCCCAGACAACCAAUCAGAAAGGAAUUCCAAGAAGACUGGAAUCUCAAGUAAGGUUUCAAACAAAGCUCGAAAAAGAAAUUUCAGCUGAAGCCCUUUGGUGUGAACCAACACCACCAGUUUGCAGAAAUCCGGAAUCCCUCAUGAGGAAAAAUGUGGAAGGCAUACUGAAGAGACAGGAUUCACUUGAGGAAUAGCCACCGGCCACACAGAACCCCCAAGAAUGGUGUGCUGCUCCACCUCCUUGCCCUCUGCAACCCCAGCCAGAUGCACCUCCUCCUGCUACAAUUUAAGCCCCGCCAGAGGCACCUCCUGCUCCACCACGUGGGCCAUAGGGGCUUCCACUGUGAUCUUCAGGUUCAAGCUGUGUCUCUGCCCUCACCCCGGUGGAACAUGGUUACAAAAUCCAUUUCCUCUAGACAUCUUCGUUUUCUGCUAUUCAGAAGUUUGCCGUUAUUAGACUUCCCUGCCACAAACUACAUCUUCCCAAUUUUUCUCUGUAAGCCAAUACGUAUUAUAGACUCCAAUGAAGAAAGACAGUGUUCUCAGAAAUAAAAUGUCUUUACUAAAUAUCUAAUAACAUCCUUUGGCAGUGUUCUGUCUCUAGCUCACCUAGUUGACCUUAUGACCUUGAUGGCUGCAAAUGCUUUAUGAUCCACCAAAAAAAAAAAAAAAAAAAACCCAUAGGAAAUAAAGUCAGACCUCCUGCAACCAAGCAGUUUAUGACAGAAAGUGUCCAUGUAAGCACAAUCAUUUUAUUAAGAAUCAGUAUUAAAAUGUGUCCAAAAGUAGUUUAAAUGCAC
RNAcentral lists this long non-coding RNA (1784 nucleotides) under Cricetulus griseus (Chinese hamster). RNAcentral's name for it is "lncRNA (ENSCGRG00015037386.1)". Lineage: Eukaryota; Metazoa; Chordata; Mammalia; Rodentia; Cricetidae. The record is from RNAcentral.